CGGGGCGUGGCUCAGCUUGGUAGAGCACCUGUCUUGGGAACAGGGGGUCGCAGGUUCGAAUCCUGCCGCUCCGA
This is a transfer RNA of Phascolarctobacterium sp. CAG:266, 74 nucleotides long. It matches the Rfam family "tRNA". From Rfam's summary of the family: Transfer RNA (tRNA) molecules are approximately 80 nucleotides in length. Their secondary structure includes four short double-helical elements and three loops (D, anti-codon, and T loops). The record is from Rfam. NCBI's taxonomy places the organism in Bacteria, Bacillati, Bacillota, Negativicutes, Acidaminococcales, Acidaminococcaceae.